RNAcentral lists this ribosomal RNA (253 nucleotides) under uncultured bacterium. RNAcentral's name for it is "partial 16S ribosomal RNA". It matches the Rfam family "Bacterial small subunit ribosomal RNA", at positions 524 to 776 of the family's 1533-position model. The record is from RNAcentral.
UACGUAGGGGGCAAGCGUUGUCCGGAAUCAUUGGGCGUAAAGCGCGUGUAGGCGGCUCGGUAAGUCUGCUGUGAAAGUCCAGGGCUCAACCCUGGGAUGCCGGUGGAUACUGUCGAGCUCGAGUCCGGAAGAGGCGAGUGGAAUUCCUGGUGUAGCGGUGAAAUGCGCAGAUAUCAGGAGGAACACCAAUGGCGAAGGCAGCUCGCUGGGACGUGACUGACGCUGAGGAGCGAAAGCGUGGGGAGCAAACAGG